CAGUCGCCGCGGUAAUACAGAGGGUGCGAGCGUUAAUCGGAUUUACUGGGCGUAAAGCGUGCGUAGGCGGCUUUUUAAGUCGGAUGUGAAAUCCAUGAGCUUAACUUAGGAAUUGCAUUCGAUACUGGGAAGCUAGAGUAUGGGAGAGGAUGGUAGAAUUCCAGGUGUAGCGGUGAAAUGCGUAGAGAUCUGGAGGAAUACCGAUGGCGAAGGCAGCCAUCUGGCCUAAUACUGACGCUGAGGUACGAAAGCAUGGGGAGCAAACAGGAUUAGAUACCCCCGUAGUCCCUGUCUCUUAUAC
Molecule: ribosomal RNA, 301 nt
Filed under: uncultured bacterium
Lineage: Bacteria
Description: partial 16S ribosomal RNA
Rfam family: Bacterial small subunit ribosomal RNA
Source: RNAcentral